RNAcentral lists this ribosomal RNA (789 nucleotides) under uncultured archaeon. RNAcentral's name for it is "bacterial SSU rRNA". It matches the Rfam family "Archaeal small subunit ribosomal RNA", at positions 1 to 796 of the family's 1478-position model. The record is from RNAcentral.
UUCCGGUUGAUCCUGCCAGAAGUUACUGCUAUCGAGGUUCGACUAAGCCAUGCGAGUCGAAUGUAGCAAUACAUGGCGUACUGCUCAGUAACACGUGGAUAACCUACCCUUGAGACGGGGAUAAACCCGGGAAACUGGGUAUAAUACCCGAUAGAUCUCGACUGCUGGAAUGCAUCGAGCUUGAAAGCUCCGGCGCUCAAGGAUGGGUCUGCGGCCUAUCAGGUAGUAGUGGGUGUAGCGUACCUACUAGCCUACGACGGGUACGGGUUGUGAGAGCAAGAGCCCGGAGAUGGAUUCUGAGACACGAAUCCAGGCCCUACGGGGUGCAGCAGGCGCGAAAACUUUACAAUGCUGGAAACAGCGAUAAGGGGACCUCGAGUGCCAGGUUACAAAUCUGGCUGUCGUGAUGCCUAAAAAGCAUUGCAUAGCAAGGGCCGGGCAAGACCGGUGCCAGCCGCCGCGGUAACACCGGCGGCUCGAGUGGUAACCGUUAUUAUUGGGUCUAAAGGGUCUGUAGCCGGCCGGAUAAGUCUCUUGGGAAAUCUGGCAGCUUAACUGUCAGGCUUUCAGGAGAUACUGUCUGGCUCGAGGCCGGGAGAGGUGAGAGGUACUUCAGGGGUAGGGGUGAAAUCUUGUAAUCCUUGAAGGACCACCAGUGGCGAAGGCGUCUCACCAGAACGGACCUGACGGCAAGGGACGAAAGCUAGGGGCACGAACCGGAUUAGAUACCCGGGUAGUCCUAGCCGUAAACGAUACUCGCUAGGUGUCGGCAACGGUGCGACCGUUGUC